UUAGAGCUCCACUGCAGCCAUAGUCAUCUAGAAAACGAAUGAGAACCAUAUACAUGCAUCUUUCUCAGAUAGUUGCAAACAGCUGGGCGAGCCAAGGAAACUCAUCAAGUUCGGCGAUUUCGCCGCCGUAAAUUCUAUUAGUCACUUGCUUGCCGCACUCAUGCAGCAAAUUGAAUCCCGAACUUGGCUCCACAGUCUGAAUCCUACGCUUGAGUUUCUUGCGCUUGAAACGAGCGGUGACAUCGAGGAACCUACGAUACUCAAACUUGGAGAACUGCAGCACGGGAAAUAGGUAAUCCUGGCCAUUUGCCGGGCAGCAAACGAGGGAUUCGUAGGCAACCUGCGGCUCCGAGACUUGCUGCUCCACCAUCUCGCACUGCACCUUCUUCAGGAAGUUGACCUUCUCCGCGGGCAAAUUGGUGGCAUUGCGCACCUGCAGAUACGCCUUGCACCUGCUGACCUCCAUGCAAACGCCCCGCUUCGUCUCAUUGGGUAUAUCGCACUCCUGCAGGACUUCGCCGGCGGCCAGGAAGCGGUUGCAACAGCCGAAGAGUAUCCAUAGUCGCAGCACCGAACCGAGCAUGGGUAACAGUAUCUAUAUAUCUAUAUAGCUUGAUCCGCAGAUACAAUCCAAAUCCAAAUACAAAUCCAAAACCAAAUCCGUUUGUCGGGCAAGAAGAAGCGGCGGCAAAGGCUUACGAACCGAAACUGAAUGGCAACGCAGUUGGUUUAAGCGUAGUGCCAAAACCAAAAACCAAAAAGCGAAAAGCCGAAGACCCCUAAAAAUCGGAAGAGCCGAAGAGCGACCCCCGUGUUUUCAGUCUUCAGUCUACAGUCUACAGUCUCCGGUCUUUAGUCUGCAAUCUUCAGUCUUCACUCCACCAGCUGAAAGCUCCAACUCAGGUGUCAACAAAUGAGACGCCCCCGCCCCACUUAGGCGGCGAAAAAACGAGUCCAAAAGUGCAGUAGUCGGCGGGCAGGCAGGUCGACGGAUAGCGAUACCGAUAGCGAUCGUCCGGCUGGUCCGGUUAUAGUAUGUAUAUUAUUGCAUAACCACAACUCAGCUGGCCAGCUGGUUUCACUUUCGUUCAAGGCGAGAUUCAGACUCUGGUGCUGUUCAAAGCUUCGCUUGCCCAAGAUUGCCCACUUUUAGGCGGCAAUAUCUUUACGGCAAAGCUUUGGUUUUUGGCCAAAGUCCAUGUACAUGGCUCAAAACAAAACAAAACACACCUGCUCGAGAAACCGGAAGUUUUCUUGUGGUUUUCUGGCGCCAAUUAAAGCGCGGUGGCAAUGUCAUUUGGACCGCGAUUGUCGAAGCUGUCGCCUUCAGCUGGGAAAUCCAAAGGUUUUCGCCGCAGUUCAGUCACCUUCUUGGGGUGUUAUAAACAUAAAGUGCUUUAACUGAACUGAUAUUAACUCAUAUUAAUAAAUUUAUAUAUAUAUAAUAUAUCCGUUUAUAAAUCAAAGCAAA
Molecule: long non-coding RNA, 1471 nt
Organism: Drosophila yakuba
Lineage: Eukaryota; Metazoa; Arthropoda; Insecta; Diptera; Drosophilidae
Exons: 2
Source: RefSeq, a predicted model, not a curated record